CUUUUAUUCUAGGAAGAAAACGAAACUGAUGUUUUCCAUGAUCCAUUAGAGGAAAACGACGCCAUUGAUAUCAAUGACAUAGUUAUAUUAGAGGAAGAAAAUGAAACUGGUGUUUUCCCGGAUCCAUUAAGGGAAAGCGACGCCAUUGAUAUCAAUGACAUGGUUAUAUUAGGGGAAGAAAACGAAACUGGUGUUUUCCGUGACCCACUGAGCAGCGACACCAUUGAUA
Molecule: long non-coding RNA, 229 nt
Organism: Dermacentor silvarum
Lineage: Eukaryota; Metazoa; Arthropoda; Arachnida; Ixodida; Ixodidae
Exons: 3
Source: RefSeq, a predicted model, not a curated record